CCCUUAGAUGCUCUGGGCCGCACGCGCGCUACACUGGUCGAUGCAACGAGUUUCUUUCCUUGGCCGACAGGCCUGGGCAAUCUUUGAACAUCGAUCGUGAUCGGGAUAGAUUCUUGUAAUUUUUGAUCUUAAACGAGGAAUUCCUAGUAAACGCAAGUCAUCAGCUUGCAUUGAUUACGUCCCUGCCCUUUGUACACACCGCCCGUCGCACCUACCGAUUGAAUGGUCCGGUGAAAUCUCCGGACUGGCAUGAGUCGGAGCAAUCUGACAAACACCGGAAAGUUGAUUAAACCUUACCAUUUAGAGGAAGGUGAAGUCGUAACA
Molecule: ribosomal RNA, 324 nt
Filed under: uncultured eukaryote
Lineage: Eukaryota
Description: partial 18S ribosomal RNA
Rfam family: Eukaryotic small subunit ribosomal RNA
Source: RNAcentral